Molecule: ribosomal RNA, 520 nt
Filed under: uncultured Glomus
Lineage: Eukaryota; Fungi; Glomeromycota; Glomeromycetes; Glomerales; Glomeraceae
Description: SSU rRNA
Rfam family: Eukaryotic small subunit ribosomal RNA
Source: RNAcentral
AGCAGCCGCGGUAAUUCCAGCUCCAAUAGCGUAUAUUAAAGUUGUUGCAGUUAAAAAGCUCGUAGUUGAAUUUCGGGGUUAGUAGGUUGGUCAUGCCUCUGGUAUGUACUGGUCUCACUGAUUCCUCCUUCCUGGUGAGCCGUAAUGCCAUUAAUUUGGUGUUGCGGGGAAUUUGGACUGUUACUUUGAAAAAAUUAGAGUGUUUAAAGCAAGCUAACGCUUGAAUACAUUAGCAUGGAAUAAUGAAAUAGGACGUUCGAUCCUAUUUUGUUGGUUUCUAGGAUUGACGUAAUGAUUAAUAGGGAUAGUUGGGGGCAUUAGUAUUCAAUUGUCAGAGGUGAAAUUCUUGGAUUUAUUGAAGACUAACUACUGCGAAAGCAUUUGCCAAGGAUGUUUUCAUUAAUCAAGAACGAAAGUUAGGGGAUCGAAGACGAUCAGAUACCGUCGUAGUCUUAACCAUAAACUAUGCCGACUAGGGAUCGGAUGAUGUAAUUUUUAAUGACUCAUUCGGCGCCUUAAC